AACGCUAGCUACAGGCUUAACACAUGCAAGUCGAGGGGCAGCAUGGUCUUAGCUUGCUAAGGCCGAUGGCGACCGGCGCACGGGUGAGUAACACGUAUCCAACCUGCCGUCUACUCUUGGACAGCCUUCUGAAAGGAAGAUUAAUACAAGAUGGCAUCAUGAGUCCGCAUGUUCACAUGAUUAAAGGUAUUCCGGUAGACGAUGGGGAUGCGUUCCAUUAGAUAGUAGGCGGGGUAACGGCCCACCUAGUCUUCGAUGGAUAGGGGUUCUGAGAGGAAGGUCCCCCACAUUGGAACUGAGACACGGUCCAAACUCCUACGGGAGGCAGCAGUGAGGAAUAUUGGUCAAUGGGCGAGAGCCUGAACCAGCCAAGUAGCGUGAAGGAUGACUGCCCUAUGGGUUGUAAACUUCUUUUAUAAAGGAAUAAAGUCGGGUAUGGAUACCCGUUUGCAUGUACUUUAUGUAUAAGGAUCGGCUAACUCCGUGCCAGCAGCCGCGGUAAUACGGAGGAUCCGAGCGUUAUCCGGAUUUAUUGGGUUUAAAGGGAGCGUAGAUGGAUGUUUAAGUCAGUUGUGAAAGUUUGCGGCUCAACCGUAAAAUUGCAGUUGAUACUGGAUAUCUUGAGUGCAGUUGAGGCAGGCGGAAUUCGUGGUGUAGCGGUGAAAUGCUUAGAUAUCACGAAGAACUCCGAUUG
RNAcentral lists this ribosomal RNA (694 nucleotides) under uncultured bacterium. RNAcentral describes it as "bacterial SSU rRNA". It matches the Rfam family "Bacterial small subunit ribosomal RNA", at positions 32 to 715 of the family's 1533-position model. The record is from RNAcentral.